Molecule: ribosomal RNA, 252 nt
Filed under: uncultured prokaryote
Description: partial 16S ribosomal RNA
Rfam family: Bacterial small subunit ribosomal RNA
Source: RNAcentral
ACAGAGGCGGCAAGCGUUGUUCGGAAUUAUUGGGCGUAAAGAGCGCGUAGGCGGCCUUGCAAGUCAGUUGUGAAAGCCUUCCGCUUAACGGAAGAACGGCAUCUGAUACUACAGGGCUUGAGUACGGGAGGGGAGAGUGGAACUUCUGGUGGAGCGGUGAAAUGCGUAGAUACCAGAAGGAACGUCGGCGGCGAAAGCGACCCUCUAGACCGUAACUGACGAUGAGUGUGCGAAAGCUAGGGUAGCAAACGG